Molecule: unclassified non-coding RNA, 242 nt
Filed under: plant metagenome
Description: partial contains small subunit ribosomal RNA, internal transcribed spacer 1, and 5.8S ribosomal RNA
Rfam family: 5.8S ribosomal RNA (bases 194-242)
Source: RNAcentral
UCUCCGUAGGUGAACCUGCGGAGGGAUCAUUACAGAGUUCAUGCCCUCACGGGUAGAUCUCCCACCCUGUGUUAUUAUACUUUGUUGCUUUGGCAGGCCGCCCGCGUGGGCUACCGGCUCCAGCUGGUAAGUGCCUGCCAGAGGACCCCAAACUCUGAAUAUUUUAUUGUCUGAGUACUAUAUAAUAGUUUAAAACUUUCAACAACGGAUCUCUUGGUUCUGGCAUCGAUGAGGAACGCAGC